UAUGAACUUCCCCACCUGAGAAGAAUGCCAAUCAUGAAAUAGAUGUUCUUGGAUCCUCCCAUUACCUUUUUCUUAAAUCCGUAGUGAAAUAAUAACUAAGGCCUUCAUCAGAUGCA
Molecule: long non-coding RNA, 116 nt
Organism: Magnolia sinica
Lineage: Eukaryota; Viridiplantae; Streptophyta; Magnoliopsida; Magnoliales; Magnoliaceae
Exons: 2
Source: RefSeq, a predicted model, not a curated record